GAUGAACGCUGGCGGCGUGCCUAAUACAUGCAAGUCGAGCGAACAGACGAGGAGCUUGCUCCUCUGACGUUAGCGGCGGACGGGUGAGUAACACGUGGAUAACCUACCUAUAAGACUGGGAUAACUUCGGGAAACCGGAGCUAAUACCGGAUAAUAUAUUGAACCGCAUGGUUCAAUAGUGAAAGACGGUUUUGCUGUCACUUAUAGAUGGAUCCGCGCCGCAUUAGCUAGUUGGUAAGGUAACGGCUUACCAAGGCAACGAUGCGUAGCCGACCUGAGAGGGUGAUCGCCCACACUAGAACGGAGACACGGUCCAGACUCCUACGGGAGGCAGCAGUAGGGAAUCUUCCGCAAUGGGCGAAAGCCUGACGGAGCAACGCCGCGUGAGUGAUGAAGGUCUUCGGAUCGUAAAACUCUGUUAUUAGGGAAGAACAAAUGUGUAAGUAACUAUGCACGUCUUGACGGUACCUAAUCAGAAAGCCACGGCUAACUACGUG
This 497-nucleotide ribosomal RNA is filed under the name uncultured bacterium. RNAcentral describes it as "partial 16S ribosomal RNA". It matches the Rfam family "Bacterial small subunit ribosomal RNA", at positions 28 to 507 of the family's 1533-position model. The record is from RNAcentral.